This 117-nucleotide ribosomal RNA is filed under the name Clostridium sp. Lineage: Bacteria; Bacillati; Bacillota; Clostridia; Eubacteriales; Clostridiaceae. The record is from RNAcentral.
UCUGGUGAUGAUGGCAUAGAGGAAACACUCCUUCCCAUACCGAACAGGAAAGUUAAGCUCUAUAGCGCCAAUGGUACUGCAUGGGAGACCGUGUGGGGGUAAUAUGAUCUACUAGCU